UACGGGGGGAGCAAGCGUUGUUCGGAUUUACUGGGCGUAAAGGGCGCGUAGGCGGCCAGCACAAGUCAGUUGUGAAAUCUCCGGGCUUAACUCGGAAAGGUCAACUGAUACUGUGCGGCUAGAGUGCGGAAGGGGCAACUGGAAUUCUCGGUGUAGCGGUGAAAUGCGUAGAUAUCGAGAGGAACACCUGCGGCGAAGGCGGGUUGCUGGGCCGACACUGACGCUGAGGCGCGAAAGCCAGGGGAGCGAACGGG
This 254-nucleotide ribosomal RNA is filed under the name uncultured bacterium. RNAcentral describes it as "partial 16S ribosomal RNA". It matches the Rfam family "Bacterial small subunit ribosomal RNA", at positions 524 to 776 of the family's 1533-position model. The record is from RNAcentral.